RNAcentral lists this ribosomal RNA (391 nucleotides) under Pseudocalanus sp. RNAcentral's name for it is "partial small subunit ribosomal RNA". It matches the Rfam family "Eukaryotic small subunit ribosomal RNA", at positions 582 to 975 of the family's 1831-position model. Lineage: Eukaryota; Metazoa; Arthropoda; Copepoda; Calanoida; Clausocalanidae. The record is from RNAcentral.
AUUCCAGCUCCAAUAGCGUAUAUUAAAGUUGUUGUGGUUAAAAAGCUCGUAGUUGGAUCUCGGCGGUCUGAGGGCGGUUCGCUUCAGAGCGCUACUGCCCUAUAGACCGUAGUUUUGCCAGAGGUCUCAGGGUGCUCUUAACCGAGUGUCUUGCGAUGCUGGCAGGUUUACUUUGAAAAAAUUAGAGUGCUCAAAGCAGGCUUUUACGCCUGAAUAUUCGUGCAUGGAAUAAUAGAAUAGGAAGUCGUUUCUAUUUUGUUGGUUUUAGGAAAUCGACUUAAUGAUUAAUAGGGACAGUCGGGGGCAUUUGUAUUCAAACGACAGAGGUGAAAUUCUUGGACCGUUUGAAGACAAACUACUGCGAAAGCAUUUGCCAAGAAUGUUUUCAUUA